This 305-nucleotide ribosomal RNA is filed under the name uncultured bacterium. Its description in RNAcentral is "bacterial SSU rRNA". It matches the Rfam family "Bacterial small subunit ribosomal RNA", at positions 335 to 638 of the family's 1533-position model. The record is from RNAcentral.
AUGCCUACGGGGGGCAGCAGUGAGGAAUAUUGGUCAAUGGGAGAGAUCCUGAACCAGCCAAGUCGCGUGAGGGAUGACGGCCCUACGGGUUGUAAACCUCUUUUGUCGGGGAGCAAAGAGAGUCACGUGUGGCUCAUUGGGAGUACCCGAAGAAAAAGCAUCGGCUAACUCCGUGCCAGCAGCCGCGGUAAUACGGAGGAUGCGAGCGUUAUCCGGAUUUAUUGGGUUUAAAGGGUGCGCAGGCGGAGGUGCAAGGCAGUGGUCAAAUUGCGGGGCUCAACCCCGUACUGCCGUUGAAACUGCAU